This 1016-nucleotide long non-coding RNA is filed under the name Bemisia tabaci. RNAcentral describes it as "lncRNA ENSASIAIIG009986". The record is from RNAcentral. Lineage: Eukaryota; Metazoa; Arthropoda; Insecta; Hemiptera; Aleyrodidae.
UUUCUUAUGCAAUUUAGUAGUAGAGAAAACUUCUAAUACUACGUUCCUCGAAAUGCAAGAAGGACUUUCGGAAAAAGAAAACUAUUUGUAUCUAGUUAAAUUUUAUAUUGGCGUGAAUACGGCUUAAAUCAGCCCUCUUUUAGAAGAUCAUUAUUCAGUUUUAUUUGACUGGUAUAAAAAAUUGAGGGUAUGAAUGCCGUUUAAAUGUCACUCAUGUUGUGAAUUCAUAUUUGGCAGCCGAGGAUCUUUUGUUUGAUGAAUUGAAUAUCUGACAUUCGACCUCAUCAUGAUGUGUUUGUUUUUGUUCGCAGGUAUGCAUGACAUCAACUUAUGACUCCAUCGUUCAAAAAAGUGUACAGAUAGCUUGCUUGAAGAUAAUAUCAAAUGUUGGUUUUAACUGCACCAAUUUGUAUCGACAAAAACCGUAUGCGUGGGGCAUGCUGCAUAAUCGUAAGACUAAAUCAUUAUAAUUCUACGUGUAUAUCUUAUCCACAUAUUCACACAAUAGUGAAUUCCUCAAAAUUAUUAAAUCAAAGUGUGUUUUGACGCUCACAUCGCAACGAAUAAUCAGUUCUCUAUAGCUGAGGAUAUUGCACCAUUGAUGUGAGAACAGCUAAUAGGCUAAAAAAGACAAUUAUUUUCCUUCAAAUUUAUACUCCGAUGUCGUUGGAAAACAAAUAAUUUCUAUCAGUUUCCAGAUUAAACCCAACAAUGUCUUCUGAAGCAAAAUCGCAUGACGGUCGCAAGAGUUACAUGGCGUAUCAUUCAACUUAGGCACGUAGUGAAAGUAAAUUGGUAAAGGUUUGACCAACAAUUUCAGUUGGUAAAGCUUGUAAUAUAACAAAGUACAUAUCCGAACUGUAGGUUCUUACUUUCAAUAUACUAACGAAAGUAUCGCCCGUUGAACAACACCAAAGUGGACGACGCGUCACUCAUCGCAUUAAUGCAUCCCAGGGUACUUUUUUCACCUCAAUUCCACCGAAAGGUGACGAUUUGACGAGUUAAUUCACUUUCCU